CAUGCAAGUCGUACGAGAGUUUUUAACUCAAGUGGCGGACGGGUGAGUAACACGUGAGAAUUUGCCUUUAGGAGGGGGAUAACAGAGUGAAAACGCUGCUAAUACCCCAUAUGCUUUCGAGUGAAAUGGAUUUAUUCGCCUAAAGAGAAGCUCGCGGCUGAUUAGCUUGUUGGUAAGGUAAUGGCUUACCAAGGCGACGAUCAGUAUCUGGUUUGGGAGGACGAUCAGACACACUGGAACUGAGACACGGUCCAGACUCCUACGGGAGGCAGCAGUGGGGAAUUUUCCGCAAUGGGCGAAAGCCUGACGGAGCAAUACCGCGUGAGGGAAGACGGCCUAUGGGUUGUAAACCUCUUUUCUCAGGGAGGAACUCAAUGACGUUACCUGAGGAAUAAGCAUCGGCUAACUCCGUGCCAGCAGCCGCGGUAAGACGGAGGAUGCAAGUGUUAUCCGGAAUCACUGGGCGUAAAGCGUCUGUAGGUGGCUUAACAAGUCAACUGUUAAAUCUUGAAGCUCAACUUCGAAAUCGCAGUCGAAACUGUUAGGCUAGAGUAUAGUAGGGGUAAAGGGAAUUUCCAGUGGAGCGGUGAAAUGCGUAGAGAUUGGAAAGAACACCGAUGGCGAAGGCACUUUACUGGGCUAUUACUGACACUCAGAGACGAAAGCUAGGGUAGCAAAUGGGAUUAGAUACCCCAGUAGUCCUAGCCGUAAACAAUGGAUACUAGAUGUUGGGCAGAUCGACCUGUUCAGUAUUAAAGCUAAGGCGUUAAGUAUCCCGCCUGGGAAGUAUGCGCGCAAGCGUGAAACUCAAAGGAAUUUGACGGGGUCCGCACAUCGUGGAGCAUGUGUUUAAUUCGAUGCCAGCGGAGACCUUACCAGGUUUGACAUGAUAGAUUUUUGUUUGAAGAAAAAAUGCGAUUGGACGUAUGCCAGUGUGCAUGCUGUCUCAGCUCGAUGUCGUGAAGGUCGCUUAGUCCCGCACGAA
RNAcentral lists this ribosomal RNA (985 nucleotides) under uncultured bacterium. Its description in RNAcentral is "bacterial SSU rRNA". It matches the Rfam family "Bacterial small subunit ribosomal RNA", at positions 54 to 1096 of the family's 1533-position model. The record is from RNAcentral.